Stegodyphus mimosarum is the source of this 73-nucleotide non-coding RNA. Lineage: Eukaryota; Metazoa; Arthropoda; Arachnida; Araneae; Eresidae. The record is from Rfam.
GCCUUCGUGGUGUAGUGGUCAGCACGCUCGACGCGUAUUCGAGAGGUCCGUGGUUCGAGUCCCGGCUAGAGCA